AGUGAACGCUGGCGGUAGGCCUAACACAUGCAAGUCGAACGGCAGCACAGUAAGAGCUUGCUCUUACGGGUGGCGAGUGGCGGACGGGUGAGGAAUACAUCGGAAUCUACUUUUUCGUGGGGGAUAACGUAGGGAAACUUACGCUACUACCGCAUACGACCUACGGGUGAAAGCAGGGGAUCUUCGGACCUUGCGCGAUUGAAUGAGCCGAUGUCGGAUUAGCUAGUUGGCGGGGUAAAGGCCCACCAAGGCGACGAUCCGUAGCUGGUCUGAGAGGAUGAUCAGCCACACUGGAGCUGAGACACGGUCCAGACUCCUACGGGAGGCAGCAGUGGGGAAUAUUGGACAGUGGGCGCAAGCCUGAUCCAGCCAUACUGCGUGGGUGAAGAAGGCCUUCGGGUUGUAAAGCCCUUUUGUUGGGAAAGAAAAGCAGCAGGUUAAUACCCCGCUGUUCUGACGGUACCCAAAGAAUAAGCACCGGCUAACUUCGUG
This 492-nucleotide ribosomal RNA is filed under the name uncultured bacterium. Its description in RNAcentral is "partial 16S ribosomal RNA". It matches the Rfam family "Bacterial small subunit ribosomal RNA", at positions 29 to 507 of the family's 1533-position model. The record is from RNAcentral.